ACGGGGCCCGCACAAGCGGUGGAGCAUGUGGUUUAAUUCGAUGCAACGCGAAGAACCUUACCUGGGCUUGACAUCCCUGGAAUCCCCUGGAAACAGGGGAGUGCCCUUCGGGGAGCCAGGAGACAGGUGCUGCAUGGCUGUCGUCAGCUCGUGUCGUGAGAUGUUGGGUUAAGUCCCGCAACGAGCGCAACCCUUGUCUUUAAUUGCCAUCAUUCAGUUGGGCACUUUAAAGAGACUGCCGGUGUUAAACCGGAGGAAGGUGGGGAUGACGUCAAGUCAUCAUGCCCUUUAUGUCCUGGGCUACACACGUGCUACAAUGGCCGGUACAACGGGCUGCGAUACCGCGAGGUGGAGCGAAUCCCUAAAAGCCGGUCACAGUUCGGAUUGGAGUCUGCAACUCGACUCCAUGAAGGCGGAGUUGCUAGUAAUCGCGAAUCAGCAACGUCGCGGUGAAUACGUUCCCGGGCCUU
Molecule: ribosomal RNA, 470 nt
Filed under: uncultured Gelria sp.
Lineage: Bacteria; Bacillati; Bacillota; Clostridia; Thermoanaerobacterales; Thermoanaerobacteraceae
Description: bacterial SSU rRNA
Rfam family: Bacterial small subunit ribosomal RNA
Source: RNAcentral